CCUACGGGCCGCACCAGUGGGGAAUAUUGCACAAUGGGCGCAAGCCUGAUGCAGCCAUGCCGCGUGUAUGAAGAAGGCCUUCGGGUUGUAAAGUACUUUCAGCGGGGAGGAAGGCAAUAAGGUUAAUAACCUUGUCGAUUGACGUUACCCGCAGAAGAAGCACCGGCUAACUCCGUGCCAGCAGCCGCGGUAAUACGGAGGGUGCAAGCGUUAAUCGGAAUUACUGGGCGUAAAGCGCACGCAGGCGGUCUGUCAAGUCGGAUGUGAAAUCCCCGGGCUCAACCUGGGAACUGCAUUCGAAACUGGCAGGCUAGAGUCUUGUAGAGGGGGGUAGAAUUCCAGGUGUAGCGGUGAAAUGCGUAGAGAUCUGGAGGAAUACCGGUGGCGAAGGCGGCCCCCUGGACAAAGACUGACGCUCAGGUACGAAAGCGUGGGGAGCAAACAGGAUUAGAUACCCCCGUAGUC
RNAcentral lists this ribosomal RNA (465 nucleotides) under uncultured bacterium. Its description in RNAcentral is "bacterial SSU rRNA". It matches the Rfam family "Bacterial small subunit ribosomal RNA", at positions 338 to 795 of the family's 1533-position model. The record is from RNAcentral.